GUUGAACGCUGGCGGCAGGCCUAACACAUGCAAGUCGAGCGGAUGAAGGGGGCUUGCGCCUGGAUUCAGCGGCGGACGGGUGAGUAAUUCCUAGGAAUCUGCCUGGUAGUGGGGGAUAACGUCCGGAAACGGGCGCUAAUACCGCAUCCGUCAUGAGGGAGAAAGUGGGGGAUCUUGGGACCUCGCGCUAUCAGCUUAACCUAGGUCGGAUUAGCUAGUUGGUGGGCUAAAGGCCUACCAAGGCGACGAUCCGUGACUGGUCUGAUAGGAUGAUCAGUAAGAUGGGAACGGGGAACCGCUCCAGACCCCUACGGGAGGAAGCAGUGGGGAACAUUGGACAAUGGGGGAAAGCCGGACCCAGAAAUGCGGCGUGGGUGAAGAAGGUCUUCGGAUUGUAAAGUCCGUUAAUUGGGGAGGAAGGGCAGUAAGUUAAUACCUUGCUGUUUUGACGGUACCUACAGAAUAAGCACCGGCUAACUUCGUG
Molecule: ribosomal RNA, 484 nt
Filed under: uncultured bacterium
Lineage: Bacteria
Description: partial 16S ribosomal RNA
Rfam family: Bacterial small subunit ribosomal RNA
Source: RNAcentral